UGGGGAAUUUUGCGCAAUGGGCGAAAGCCUGACGCAGCAACGCCGCGUGAGGGAUGAAAUAUUUCGGUAUGUAAACCUCGCAAAUAUGGGAAGAACACAAUGACGGUACCAUAUGUAAGCCACGGCUAACUUCGUGCCAGCAGCCGCGGUAAUACGAAGGUGGCAAGCGUUGUUCGGAAUCACUGGGCAUAAAGCGCACGUAGGCCGUCCACUAAGUCGAAUGUGAAAUACCCCGGCUCAACCGGGGAACUGCAUCCGAUACUGGUGGACUCGAGGAUGGUUGGGGUGAGUGGAACUCCAGGUGGAGCGGUGAAAUGCGUAGAUAUCUGGAGGAACACCGGUGGCGAAAGCGGCUCACUGGACCAUCUCUGACGCUGAGGUGCGAAAGCUAGGGGAGCAAACGGGAUUAGAUACCCCCGUAGUCCCUGAGCGGGCUGGCAAGGCGCAU
RNAcentral lists this ribosomal RNA (448 nucleotides) under uncultured bacterium. RNAcentral's name for it is "bacterial SSU rRNA". It matches the Rfam family "Bacterial small subunit ribosomal RNA", at positions 355 to 825 of the family's 1533-position model. The record is from RNAcentral.